Molecule: microRNA precursor, 248 nt
Organism: Medicago truncatula (barrel medic)
Lineage: Eukaryota; Viridiplantae; Streptophyta; Magnoliopsida; Fabales; Fabaceae
Rfam family: MIR2655 microRNA precursor family
Source: Rfam
CCCUUAACUAUUAAAAGUUUCGUUUUGGUCCUUUAACUUACUUUUUGAUUUCGUUUUGGUCCCUUAACUCUUCCUCCGUCAAUCACUUUGGUCCUUUAUGUUAGGAUGAAUGUAUCAGAGUUAAGGGAUCAAACUGAAACAAAAAAAUAAGUUAAGGGACCAAAACGAAACUUUUAAUAGUUAAGAGACCAAAAGAAAACCCAAAAAUAAAUUAUUGGAUCGAAACAAAAAUUUUAAUAGUUAAGAAA